GACGAGUGGGAAAUGAAACACAGAUGGGUCAGAUGGGUAAGGAGAGGGGGAUUACAGGUCAGGCCAAAGAGUUGGAAUAAAUUAAGUGCUUAUGAGGUACAGAAUGGCACAUUGUUUAAGUGAAUGGACAGGGAAAAAACAUUCCAGCAUUGUUCAUCCGCCGAGGGAGCCCAACGCUCCUCUUCCCAGACGAGCCCAGGCCACAGAGCGCCUCCUCCUCGCCAGGAUGUUUGUGACCCACAGACUGAAAACGCGGCCAGGCGGUGCCCGAAACAUUCUCCCAGCCUCCAAAGAGGCCAGUUUGGCUUUAUUACACGGGAGAUGUAAUUUAUUGGGAGAAAUGUUUGGGUUCGUGUGUCGGAUGGUGGAGAGUCAGAUUUGGAGUUCCCUGGGGAUCUCCGAGGAGAAGAAGCAGAUGUUCACAAAGCAACUGACCAGGCCAGGUGUGUCCUUCAAGGCUACCUGCAUUCAACAGAGGCGACCACAGCCCAGACCCAUCCUUCUUGGGAGAGUUUCAAGAUGCUCCACAUAGUGGUGCCUAGCGCUCUGUGCACUCAGAGGCUAGAAGAAAAGAUACAGAGGUCCUCUUUCAAGGAGAGGCCCUGACGUUUCUAUUCUUACAAGGAUUCUUUGGUAAUAAAUACAGUGAAAACACCGUCACCGUGGAGAUAAUACUUAAUGCUCAAGAGGUACGUAGCAGAGAUUGCAUUCCAAUCAAGGACUUCCGUAACCCUGUCUACCAAGCCAGUAUCACCUGUAGGCCAGUUCACCUCCAUCCAGUCACUUUACAGCACUUGAGUGUUUGCUGUCCGCUCAAUUAAAAUCCUACUCUGGUGGGAAAAACCAGAUUUCCAAAUGGGGACUUUAUUGAUUCAAUAAAAUUUAAGAAAUUCUGCUUAUGGAAAAACUCAUUAACCCAAACUAAUAAAUACGAGUUUACCCUG
Molecule: long non-coding RNA, 944 nt
Filed under: Sus scrofa (pig)
Lineage: Eukaryota; Metazoa; Chordata; Mammalia; Artiodactyla; Suidae
Description: lncRNA (ENSSSCG00030054842.1)
Source: RNAcentral